AUGCAAAACCUUGCUCCAGACCUGGGAUGUGGGAAGAACCUCCAUCGUGGGGUGAGGGGGGCAGAUCUCAGGUGUGCGGGUGGGGCAUCUACAGCCAGGGUGGUUAUGGAAGCCCUCGGCCUGGUCACUCCUCUCCCUGCAUGGGCACACACCCCGCCCCGACUCAGCUCUCUGGGCCCCUCUAUGGGUGCCUCUAAGGGAGGCCCUGGCAGGGGGCAUCCUCCAUGCCAGCUGGGGUCACUGGGCAGAGUUCACACAGGGUGUCACAGAUGGGGCCGCUGCAGCCCAAAAGCAGCAGGUGUCACGGCUUCCGCUUCGGCAGUGACCAGGCAGGGCAGCCUGCUGUCCUGGGCGCAAGUGGCAGGCCGGGCUAGUUCAGAGCUGGGGACACAGAGCCCUGUGGCAUCAGGGAUGGUUCUGGGCAUUCGCAGUGGACAAGGGAAGAAGCUGGGACUCGAACCCUGGCUCGCCAGUGCCGAGGGGCCAUGCCCUUCACCCCUACACCACACGCUGAGGCUAAGCAGGGGCCUGGCAGACAGAGGUCCCGAACUCAAAGGCCCUCUAGGCUGGAAGGGACCCUGCUUACUCACGUCACGGACGGGGAAGUGGCAGGAGCCCCCUUCCCCACCACCGCGACCCACGAGCUCGGAGUUCUGGGUUCAGGGAGGAGGGCGGGAGUGGCCCGGACCACUGUGUCCUGAGCACCUGCUAGAUGUGUUGUCACCACGCAUGUACACACAUGCACACACACGCAAAUGCAUGCACAGUGCACACACAUGUUCAAAUGCACACGCAUACUGUGCACACGCACAUUCAAAUGCAUGCAAACGCUGCACACACACACACAAGUACCAGCAUCGCAUUUUUCUCCAAGGAUCCCUUCCCUGGAUCUGUCCUGAGCAUCCGCUCCGCUCCCACAGCUGGGCUGACAGCAGAGGCCAGGCUGGGAGGACGGGGAGCCGAGGCAGGGAGCCGGCGGCGGGAGUCCCGCCGUGGGCCCGCAGGUGA
This 1008-nucleotide long non-coding RNA is filed under the name Oryctolagus cuniculus (rabbit). Its description in RNAcentral is "lncRNA (ENSOCUG00000036603.1)". Lineage: Eukaryota; Metazoa; Chordata; Mammalia; Lagomorpha; Leporidae. The record is from RNAcentral.